ACGAACGCUGGCGGCGUGCUUAACACCUGCAAGUCGCACGGAAAGGCCCUGCUUUUGUGGGGUGCUCGAGUGGCGAACGGGUGAGUAACACGUGAGUAACCUGCCCUUGACUUUGGGAUAACUUCAGGAAACUGGGGCUAAUACCGGUUAGGAGCUCCUGCUGCAUGGUGGGGGUUGGAAAGUUUCGGCGGUUGGGGAUGGACUCGCGGCUUAUCAGCUUGUUGGUGGGGUAGUGGCUUACCAAGGCUUUGACGGGUAGCCGGCCUGAGAGGGUGACCGGCCACAUUGGGACUGAGAUACGGCCCAGACUCCUACGGGAGGCAGCAGUGGGGAAUAUUGCACAAUGGGCGGAAGCCUGAUGCAGCAACGCCGCGUGCGGGAUGACGGCCUUCGGGUUGUAAACCGCUUUCGCCUGUGACGAAGCGUGAGUGACGGUAAUGGGUAAAGAAGCACCGGCUAACUACGUG
Molecule: ribosomal RNA, 467 nt
Filed under: uncultured bacterium
Lineage: Bacteria
Description: partial 16S ribosomal RNA
Rfam family: Bacterial small subunit ribosomal RNA
Source: RNAcentral